Molecule: long non-coding RNA, 869 nt
Filed under: Homo sapiens (human)
Lineage: Eukaryota; Metazoa; Chordata; Mammalia; Primates; Hominidae
Description: HSALNT0179913
Source: RNAcentral
CUGUGCUUCCGGUAUCCAGCAGGAAACUGACCCAGCAGGACCUGAUCCUGGCAGGGACCUCAUGUGACCCAAGCCUCCAAGCCCUGACACAUGCUCCACUGUUCCAUAACAUUUUAUUACAAAACACACAUUCAAAGAUAAAAUUAUGAACAAUUUUAAGACAGCAACGGCUGAGCAUUAUACCCUGAAGGUGGGCUCCUCCUGAGUGUGGGGCCUGAGCAACUGCACUGGAGCCAGGAUGCUGAUUUGGAUCCUCAGUUAAUACUUUUCCUCUGUUUUAGAUGAUUGGAAAUUUGGGUGAGGAAGACAAAGGAAUAAUCACCCCCACCCUCCAAGAGCGCCCAACAAUUCUAUAAACUAGGUAGCCGGGUUCCUGCCCACUGCUCACAGGACCAGCUUUGUCUCAGGACACAGAGGCUCUAUUGGCCAGUGGAGCUAUAAAGACAUGAAGUCCUUCUAUCAAGGAAGCCAGAAGCAUGAAUGAGUGACCUCCAUUUUUGUGGUACAGAAACCAAGUCUUGCAGAAAAAGUGGAACAGACAAAUACAGGGAAACCAAGAAAGAGCUGAACAGAGGAAAUGCCUUUUAAGUCUUCUAAAGGUAAGUCUUCAUUUUACUUGAGUGCUAUGACUGAGUUUCUAAUCCUAGUGACCAGGCAAUUCCUGUCUCGGCCAUACCUAUGGCCCAACCAAAGUUCUGAGGGGUCAGGGAGCCUCUUAAUUCAGAAUCAAACUUUAUGACAGAACAAAACAAUAGGCUUUUGAACUUUUACACAGCCUCUGCUAAAUGCUACUAGAGAUAGAUGAAUAGACAUGCAUGAAGUUUACUAUGUGCCUGCCAGAUAUUUAAACCUUGUUAUUUAAUCCUCAC